AUCUUUUAGCAACGGAUCUCUUGGCUCUCGUAUCGAUGAAGAACGCAGCGAAAUGCGAUAAGUAAUGUGAAUUGCAGAAUUCAGUGAAUCAUGGAAUCUUUGAACGCACCUUGCGCUCCUUGGUAUUCCGAGGAGCAUGCCUGUUUGAGUGUCAUUAAUAUAUAUAUCAAACUGCUCUUGUUGAGUGGUUUGGAUGUGGGGGUUUGCUGGACUCUUGAAGGGUUCAGCUCCCCUGAAAUGCAUUAGCAGAACAAACCUGUUCAUUGGUGUGAUAACUAUCUACGCUGUUGAAUGUGAGGGGCAGUUCAGCUUUCUAACAGUCCUUGGACAAUUCAUCAUUAAUGUGACCUCAAAUCAGGUAGGACUACCCGCUGAACUUAAGCAUAUCAAUAAGCGGAGGCU
RNAcentral lists this unclassified non-coding RNA (402 nucleotides) under uncultured Cortinarius. RNAcentral's name for it is "sequence contains ITS2". The stretch from base 1 to 154 matches the Rfam family "5.8S ribosomal RNA". Lineage: Eukaryota; Fungi; Basidiomycota; Agaricomycetes; Agaricales; Cortinariaceae. The record is from RNAcentral.